This is a non-coding RNA of Cinara cedri, 370 nucleotides long. The record is from the annotation of a GenBank genome assembly. NCBI's taxonomy places the organism in Eukaryota, Metazoa, Arthropoda, Insecta, Hemiptera, Aphididae.
GUGACGGCGGCUACUACGGCGGUGGCUGUGGCGGCAGCAGCAGCAGCACCAGCGGCCGCAGCAGCGACAACAACAAGUGCCGUGUAAUUCAAUUGCGCGCGGUGGUGACGAGUGAAUCGCUCAUGUGGUACACGGUGACGGCGGCGGCGGUGGCGGCGGCGGCGCGCCGCUGCUGGACGGGAGCGAGACGGUGUGAGAGACGUGUAAAACACAUACACUGUGAGCCCUCACAUACAUACAUAUAUAUAUAUAUAUAUAUACAUAUAGUGCCGUCCACCGAUGCUGCUGCUACCGCCGCCGCCGCCUCUGCCGCUGCCGCCGCCGCCGCCGCCGCCGCCGCCGCCGCCGUCGAGGGACCGACCACCUCUGU